UAAAAGGGUCGGUUGGCUAAAUAUGCCAUGCUCGACUUGAGAUAAGGCGAGUGCUGUAUGGCUAUCAAGACAUAUGGCCGACAUAAUUUGUGGAAACUCUUAUAGGGUUGGCUCGCUUGGCCGACCCUCUUG
Non-coding RNA from Spinacia oleracea (spinach), 132 nucleotides. The record is from Rfam. Lineage: Eukaryota; Viridiplantae; Streptophyta; Magnoliopsida; Caryophyllales; Amaranthaceae.